RNAcentral lists this long non-coding RNA (1368 nucleotides) under Oncorhynchus mykiss (rainbow trout). RNAcentral's name for it is "lncRNA (ENSOMYG00000074264.1)". The record is from RNAcentral. Lineage: Eukaryota; Metazoa; Chordata; Actinopteri; Salmoniformes; Salmonidae.
AUGUAUUGUUGUCUCUACCUUCUUGCCCUUUGUGCUGUUGUACCAUGUUUAGUGUUGCUACCAUGUUGUUGUCAUGUUGUGUUGCUACCAUGUUGUUGUCUUGUUGUGUUGCUACCAUGUUGCUGUCAUGUUGUGUUGCUACCAUGUUGUUGUUAUGUUGUGUUGUUACCAUGUUGUUGUCAUGUUGUGUUGCUACCAUGUUGUUGUCUUGUUGUGUUGCUACCAUGUUGUUGUCUUGUUGUGUUGCUACCAUGUUGUUGUCUUGUUGGGUUGCUACCAUGUUGUUGUUAUGUUGUGUUGUUACCAUGUUGUUGUCAUGUUGUGUUGCUACCAUGUUGUUGUCUUGUUGUGUUGCUACCAUGUUGUUGUCUUGUUGUGUUGCUACCAUGUUGUUGUCAUGUUGUGUUGCUACCAUGUUGUUGUCUUGUUGUGUUGCUACCAUGUUGUUGUCAUGUUGUGUUGCUACCAUGUUGUUGUUAUGUUGUGUUGUUACCAUGUUGUUGUCAUGUUGUGUUGCUACCAUGUUGUUGUCUUGUUGUGUUGCUACCAUGUUGUUGUCUUGUUGGGUUGCUACCAUGUUGUUGUCUUGUUGUGUUGCUACCAUGUUGUUGUCUUGUUGGGUUGCUACCAUGUUGUUGUUAUGUUGUGUUGUUACCAUGUUGUUGUCAUGUUGUGUUGCUACCAUGUUGUUGUCUUGUUGUGUUGCUACCAUGUUGUUGUCUUGUUGGGUUGCUACCAUGUUGUUGUUAUGUUGUGUUGUUACCAUGUUGUUGUCAUGUUGUGUUGCUACCAUGUUGUUGUCUUGUUGUGUUGCUACCAUGUUGUUGUCUUGUUGUGUUGCUACCAUGCUGUGUUGUCAUGUUGUGUUGCUACCAUGUUGUUGUUAUGUUGUGUUGUUACCAUGUUGUUGUCAUGUUGUGUUGCUACCAUGUUGUUGUUAUGUUGUGUUGUUACCAUGUUGUUGUCAUGUUGUGUUGCUACCAUGUUGUUGUCUUGUUGUGUUGCUACCAUGUUGUUGUCUUGUUGGGUUGCUACCAUGCUGUGUUGUCAUGUGUUGCUGCCAUGUUGUUGUCAUGUUGUGUUGCUACCAUGCUGUUGUCAUGUUGUGUUACUACCAUGCUGUUGUCAUGUUGUGUUGCUACCAUGUUGUUGUCUUGUUGUGUUGCUACCAUGCUGCAUUGUUGUCUUAGGUCUCUUUAUGUAGUGUUGUGUUGUCUCUCUUGUCGUGAUGUGUGUUUUGUCCCAUAUUUUUUAUUUUAUUUAGUAUUAAUCUUUAAUCCCAGCCUGUCCCCUGCAGGAGGCCUUCUGCCUUUUUCUAGACCGUCAUUUGUAAAGAAGAAUUUGUUCUUAACUGACUUGCCUCGUUAA